AGGCAGUAAAUUGAUUAAUCAAACAUCCCAAAACUCAAACAUGGAAAGAGCUUCAUUCAAGUUGGCUUUGUUGAUGGCAAUCUUGGCUUUUGCAUAUGGUUUUCCAUUGGGAGGUGAAGCAAGAAAAACACCCACAAUGCAUUGUGGACCAAAGGGUGACUGCAAUGGUUCAUGUCCAUCUCAUUGCCAAUCAUGCACUUGCCAACAACCUUGGUGUGUUUGCUCUCACUACAAGCAACAGUUCCUGAACAAAGCCAUUUUUGGACAAAUGGUUGAGCUAGAACAAGAGCCAUCACAUUAAAUCAAUGAUGCAUAUAUAGGGUAUACCAUAAAUAAAACAUGUAACAUGUCAGACAGCCCAAUUAUGUAAUAGACUAUCUUGCCUUUAUAAU
Quercus lobata is the source of this 392-nucleotide long non-coding RNA. RefSeq lists it as uncharacterized. The transcript is spliced from 2 exons. The record is from RefSeq and is a predicted model, not a curated record. Lineage: Eukaryota; Viridiplantae; Streptophyta; Magnoliopsida; Fagales; Fagaceae.